This 378-nucleotide ribosomal RNA is filed under the name uncultured bacterium. Its description in RNAcentral is "bacterial SSU rRNA". It matches the Rfam family "Bacterial small subunit ribosomal RNA", at positions 28 to 409 of the family's 1533-position model. The record is from RNAcentral.
GACGAACGCUGGUGGCGUGCUUAACACAUGCAAGUCGAGCGGUAAGGCCCUUUCGGGGGUACACGAGCGGCGAACGGGUGAGUAACACGUGGGUGACCUGCCCUUAGCUCUGGGAUAAGCCUGGGAAACUGGGUCUAAUACCGGAUAUGACUCCAUGACGCAUGUUGUGGGGUGAAAGCCUUGUGCGGCUAGGGAUGGGCCCGCGGCCUAUCAGCUUGUUGGUGGGGUGAUGGCCACCAAGGCGACGACGGGUAGCCGGCCUGAGAGGGCGACCGGCCACACUGGGACUGAGACACGGCCCAGACUCCUACGGGAGGCAGCAGUGGGGAAUCUUGCGCAAUGGGCGAAAGCCUGACGCAGCGACGCCGCGUGAGGGAU